GCGGCUCUUUUGGAAUAGGUUGCCUGCUAAGGCUAAUUUAUUCCGUUGGGGGAUUAUUCCUGUUGAUCAACAAAUGUGUGUUGGUGGGUGUGGAGUGCAGGAGACUGAUGUUCAUUUGUUUUUAAAUUGUGGUACCUUUGGAAUUAUUUGGCAAAUGAUUCAGAGUUGGUUAGGAGUUUACACAGCUAUGCCGACAAAUUUAACAGAGCAUUUCUUUCAAUUUAGUACAGCUUCAGGUUAUGCAAAAGGGAGGAAGAAUUUUGUGCUUUUGAUUUGGUUUGCGACUUCUUGGAUUCUCUGGAAGGAAAGAAACAACAAAAUUUUUUGAG
RNAcentral lists this long non-coding RNA (329 nucleotides) under Medicago truncatula (barrel medic). Its description in RNAcentral is "lncRNA gene30480". The record is from RNAcentral. Lineage: Eukaryota; Viridiplantae; Streptophyta; Magnoliopsida; Fabales; Fabaceae.